RNAcentral lists this small RNA (106 nucleotides) under Marmota monax (woodchuck). The record is from RNAcentral. Lineage: Eukaryota; Metazoa; Chordata; Mammalia; Rodentia; Sciuridae.
GCUGGGUAUGUUGGCACAUCCUGUAAUCCAUGCUACUUAGGAGGCUGAUGCAGGAGAAUUGCAAGUACCAGGCCAUCCUUGGCAACUUAGUGAGAGCCUGUCUCAA